RNAcentral lists this ribosomal RNA (500 nucleotides) under uncultured bacterium. RNAcentral describes it as "partial 16S ribosomal RNA". It matches the Rfam family "Bacterial small subunit ribosomal RNA", at positions 28 to 507 of the family's 1533-position model. The record is from RNAcentral.
GACGAACGCUGGCGGCGUGCUUAACACAUGCAAGUCGAACGGUUCUGCCCUGUUUUUUUCGGGGUGUGUGGGUGGCGGACGGGUGGGUAACUCGCGCGUGACCUGCCUGUCACUUCUUUCUGACUACCCGAAAGGGUGGCUAAUACGGGGUGUUCUUUCUGUGCCGCUUGGUGUGUGUGGGUGGGAUUGACUUUGUUUCUGUUGUCGAUGGGGAUGGGGUCCAGGAGCUUGUGGGUGUUUGAGGGGUGAUGGCCUGGCAGGGCGGUGACGGGUAGCCGGCCUGAGAGGGUGGGCGGUCACACUGGGACUGAGACACGGCCCAGACUCCUACGGGAGGCAGCAGUGGGGGGUAUUGCACAAUGGGCGGAAGCCUGAUGCAGCGACGCCGCGUGAGGGAUGGAGGCCUUCGGGUUGUGAACCUCUUUCGCCGGUGAAGCAGGUCCGGCUCGUUUUUGGGGGGGUUGAGGUAGGCGGGAUAAGAAGCGCCGGCUAACUACGUG